RNAcentral lists this long non-coding RNA (484 nucleotides) under Citrus maxima (pomelo). RNAcentral describes it as "long non-coding RNA (CMAX_LNC003156)". The record is from RNAcentral. Lineage: Eukaryota; Viridiplantae; Streptophyta; Magnoliopsida; Sapindales; Rutaceae.
UUUGAGUGAAUAACGUCAUAGCGUGCUUCCUGACUUGGGCAAAAGUUGUUGUCCCAUAACACUGAUGAUGUUAUUGGACAAAUCUCCACCGUUGAAUCGGUCCCCAAGUUACCCCUCCCGUUUCCACCGUCCAAUUUUUCAUCUGUCUUAAUCGUUCUCCUCGUGAUUCGGACUCAGGCUUCUUACCGACGUACGUCCAAUUCACGGAUCCGCAACACCAAAGAAGUUCAACAUGUUACCAACCACACACUCCAUGCUCAGAUCAGGAUAUCUUUGUUUAUCCGUCGGAUAUUCAUAAUCUGAUAUCACUUCAUAUUAACGUUAGGUACGGUGAGGGUGAGACACAUGUGAUUAUUUUCCUAACAGUAUGAUCACUUGAUCAGCAGUGCAGCAGAGACCUCGUGAAAAGUAAAAAAGGAAGAACGACACGGAUGUGAUGACACACACCAAACAAUCAGCUGUAUCAUGUGAUUGCUUUUAACAU